CCUACGGGAGGCAGCAGUGAGGAAUAUUGGUCAAUGGACGAGAGUCUGAACCAGCCAAGUAGCGUGAAGGAUGACUGCCCUAUGGGUUGUAAACUUCUUUUAUAUGGGAAUAAAAUGUUCCACGUGUGGGAUUUUGUAUGUACCAUAUGAAUAAGGAUCGGCUAACUCCGUGCCAGCAGCCGCGGUAAUACGGAGGAUCCGAGCGUUAUCCGGAUUUAUUGGGUUUAAAGGGAGCGUAGGUGGAUUGUUAAGUCAAUUGUGAAAGUUUGCGGGUCAACCGUAAAAUUGCAGUUGAAACUGGCAGUCUUGAGUACAGUAGAGGUGGGCGGAAUUCGUGGUGUAGCGGUGAAAUGCUUAGAUAUCACGAAGAACUCCGAUUGCGAAGGCAGUUCACUGGACUGCAACUGACACUGAGGCUCGAAAGUGUGGGUAUCAAACAGGAUUAGAUACCCUAGUAGUC
Molecule: ribosomal RNA, 460 nt
Filed under: uncultured bacterium
Lineage: Bacteria
Description: partial 16S ribosomal RNA
Rfam family: Bacterial small subunit ribosomal RNA
Source: RNAcentral